RNAcentral lists this ribosomal RNA (575 nucleotides) under uncultured Staphylococcus sp. Its description in RNAcentral is "bacterial LSU rRNA". It matches the Rfam family "Bacterial large subunit ribosomal RNA", at positions 485 to 1061 of the family's 2925-position model. Lineage: Bacteria; Bacillati; Bacillota; Bacilli; Caryophanales; Staphylococcaceae. The record is from RNAcentral.
CGUAAGUGAACCAGUACCGUGAGGGAAAGGUGAAAAGCACCCCGGAAGGGGAGUGAAAUAGAUCCUGAAACCAUGCGCUUACAAGUAGUCAGAGCCCGUUAAUGGGUGAUGGCGUGCCUUUUGUAGAAUGAACCGGCGAGUUACGAAUAUAUGCAAGGUUAAGCAGUUAAUGUGGAGCCGUAGCGAAAGCGAGUCUGAAUAGGGCGUUGAGUAUUUGGUCGUAGACCCGAAACCAGGUGAUCUACCCAUGACCAGGCUGAAGUUCAGGUAACACUGAAUGGAGGGCCGAACCGACUUACGUUGAAAAGUGAGCGGAUGAGUUGUGGGUAGCGGAGAAAUUCCAAUCGAACCUGGAGAUAGCUGGUUCUCUCCGAAAUAGCUUUAGGGCUAGCCUUAAGUAAUGAUUAUUGGAGGUAGAGCACUGUUUGGACGAGGGGCCCUUAUCGGGUUACCGAAUUCAGACAAACUCCGAAUGCCAAUCAAUUUUAUCUUAGGAGUUAGAACGCGGGUGAUAAGGUCCGUGUUCGAAAGGGAAACAGCCCAGACCACCAGCUAAGGUCCCGUCGACGCGGCCG